RNAcentral lists this ribosomal RNA (442 nucleotides) under uncultured bacterium. RNAcentral's name for it is "partial 16S ribosomal RNA". It matches the Rfam family "Bacterial small subunit ribosomal RNA", at positions 338 to 795 of the family's 1533-position model. The record is from RNAcentral.
CCUACGGGUGGCAGCAGUGGGGAAUAUUGGGCAAUGGAGGCAACUCUGACCCAGCAACGCCGCGUGAAUGAUGACGGUCUUCGGAUUGUAAAGUUCUGUGAUUGGGGAUGAACACAGUGACGGUCCCCCAAUCUCAAGCCACGGCUAUCUACGUGCCAGCAGCCGCGGUAAUACGUAGGUGGCAAGCGUUAUCCGGAAUGACUGGGCGUAAAGGGUGCGUGGGUGGUUUAGUAAGUUGGCGGUGUAAUUCCGGGGCUCAACCCCGUCGUGCCGUUGAAACUGAUGUUCUUGAGUGUGCGAGAAGUAGGCGGAAUGCGUGGUGUAGCGGUGAAAUGCAUAGAUAUCACGAAGAACUCCGAUUGCGAAGGCAGCAUACCGGAGCCCAACUGACGCUGAAACACGAAAGCGUGGGUAUCGAACAGGAUUAGAUACCCUAGUAGUC